RNAcentral lists this ribosomal RNA (352 nucleotides) under uncultured bacterium. RNAcentral's name for it is "partial 16S ribosomal RNA". It matches the Rfam family "Bacterial small subunit ribosomal RNA", at positions 338 to 708 of the family's 1533-position model. The record is from RNAcentral.
CCUACGUGAGUCAGCAGUGGGGGAUCUUGCACAAUGGAGGAAACUCUGAUGCAGCGACGCCGCGUGAGGGAAGACGGUCUUCGGAUUGUAAACCUCUGUCUUUGGGGAAGAAAAUGACGGUACCCAACGAUGAAGCUCCGGCUAACUACGUGCCAGCAGCCGCGGUCAUACGUAGGGCGCGAGCGUUGUCCGGAGUUACUGGGUGUAAAGGUAGCGUAGGCGGGCUUGUAAGUGGAAUGUUAAAUCUACCGGCUUAACUGGUAGCUGAGUUCGAAACUUUUUGUCUUGAGUGAAGUAGAGGCAGGCGGAAUUCCUAGUGGAGGGGGGAAAUGGGGAGAUAAUAGGAGGAACA